UUUCCCGGACUUGGAUUUAAAGGGACAGGAACUGCGUAAUGGGAAGGCGCCCAGCACCCAGGGUGCUCUCUGCAGCUCCGGGCGCCGCGAGGCGAAGCCCGGGAGACCAGGCCCGGCGGUGGGGGCGCCCCGCCCGUCUCCGCGCCGCCGCCCCGCGCCCCGUGCUCGGUGCCCGGCCACCCUGCGACGCUGCCCGGGACCUGACCGGAGAGGGUUCCUCGCCCACAGGUGGUUUCCCCACGAGACAGUCCAUCCUUCCUCACCGACAGUUUGGGUGCGCACGUGGCUGAGGGGGCGCUCGCUUCAGAAAACAUGUAUUUGAAGAAUGUCCGUUCCCCGUAAAUUAACGUAAAGUCUGGCCCCAUGCUCUUGUCCAGGAUAAGGGCACCCCAAUCCCAUUCCUCCAGGCCGCCCCGGCCAUCAGGUAGCCCCCCACUGCGGAGGCGGGCGCUUUGGGAGAACCAAGUGGGACCGCCGUCUCCCUCCAUACACACUCCCACCCCACCCCAGGUGACGGUGUCCGGUUCCUGAAUCCGAGUAUCCCGGGACCGAUUUAAAAUGCAUUUCCUGGGCCGUAAGUCUGCAGGCAGGGGCCGCGUUCCCAGCUCUCCGGGAACGUGUGCGGCAAAUGGCAGCAGCGCAGGGAGAUCGCAUGGGCUCCUGAGUAAUCGGAGCGCGGGCUGGUGGCCGGGCCGAGGGGAGCCAGGACGUGCCAGCCGGGCGGCGCAGCCUGGGAUCCAGCCCCGGAAGAGCCUCUUCCCGGGACCAGGAAGUUUUCUGGUUGCAGCUCCAGGAAGGCGUCCCGGUUUCCCCCUGCGUAAAGAAGGCCCCUCCCCACGUCCCUGGGAGCCAGCCCCCUUCAGAGAGCUCAGCUGCAGUGCAGUCACCUGUCUGGUGUGUGCGUGCUCACCCCGACACUGUGUGAUGUCUGCAAUGAGGUCUCCUAUGUGCUCUGAGGCAUGAGGCUGACGGUCCUACGGAGAGGUGGGCGGGCUGAUGCUGGAGCUGGAACCGAGUCACCAUGCUGUGAGGAAGCCCAAGCAGCACCUGGAGCAGCGCCCAGGGAGAGACCCGGGACCCGCAGUGCACAGCCCUGCUGCACCUUGGCCAGCACAGGCACCAUGGGACAGCCUGGACUGUGCCACCUUGACAGGCGCUCUGGUCAGCCUCCCAGCCACUGCCUGGAGCAGGGCCACACCCCAGAGCUUCCCCACCAUGCGUGGCCAUGAUUUCAAUUUCCUCUUUCUUUUUUUAUUGAGAUAAUUGACAAAGAGCAUCACAUUAGUUUCAGGUAUACAACAUAAUAAUUGGACAGUGAUGGCCACAUCGCCGAAUGAUGGCCACAGCGAGUCUCAUGAGCACCUGUCACCUUGCAUAGUUAUAGGAUUUUUUUUUCUUGUGAUGAGAACUUUUGAAAUUUACUCUCAGCAACUUUCAAAAAUGAAAUACAGUACCAUGACGCGUAGCCACCAUGCUGUACAUCAGGUCCCCAGAACUCCCUUUAUAGCUGGCAGUUUGUGUCUCUUGAUCCCUUCACCCAUUCCACCCACACCCCACCCCCUGCCUCUGGUGACCACCACUCUGUUGUCUGUCUGUGACUUUGGAUUUUUGUUGUUGUUUGUUUGAGUCCACAUAUAUGUGAGGUCAUAUGGUAUUUUUCUUGCCGUGUCUGCUUUGUCUCCCUCAGCAGAAAGUCCUCAAGGUCCAUCUUUGAGAACAACAUUCAUUCUCUCUCUCUCUCCCUCUUUUUUUUUUUGGCUGAGUGAUAGUGCGUUGUGUAUAUGUACCACAUUUCCUUUAUCCAUCCAUCUGUCGAUGGACACUUGGGUUGCUUCCAACACAUUUCAGUUUCUGAACAAAAUGAAUGACUGCAAGGGUCAGGUGCGCUGCAGCUCAGAGCCUCACUCUGGCCCAUGCCUGCUGGAAGGAACAAAGCUGGGCUGGAACACAAGCCCACCCAUCCCUCUACAUGUGGUUAUAGCUGCUGGCACACUGUGUGUGUGAUGGCGGAGCUGAACAAGUUUCCACGGAAACCACAUGGCCCAUAAAGCCCCAAGUAUUUACCAUCUUGUCCUUUACCAAAAAAGUUUGCCAAGCCCUGUGUAUUCAUCUGCUCAGGCUAAGGUAACCAAAUACCGUGGACCGAGUGGCUUAAACAAUAGACAUUCAUUCGUUUCUCACUGUUCUGGAGGCUGGACGUCUGAGGUCAGGGAGCCAUCGUGGCUGGGUUCUGGUGAGGGCCCUCUUCCUGGCUCGCAGACAGCGCCUUCUCUCUGCGUCCUCAUGUGGCACAGAGAGUGAGGAAGCUCCCCGGUGCCUUUUCUUAUGAGGACACUGACCCCUGCCCUCUGACCUCAUUUAUACUUAGUCACUUCCUCACACCAGAUGCAGGCCAAACUGGGGGUGAGGGCUUCCCUGUAUGAGUUGGGGGGACAAACAAAUAUUCAGACCGUAAGACCCGUUUGAAGCCACUAUGUUUUAUCGUGGUUUGUCACACAGCGGUAGUGAUGAGAGUGGACUGUGCGCUUCAUGCAGACAGAACCGCAUCCAUUCACCGCCUUGCCCCCAGCGGCUGGCUCGCGGUCAGCGCACAAGGCACUUUCACUACACAAAUAUCCUGGCCCGGGAGUUGGUGUUAACUAGCUUGGUGAUGGGAAAACUCCCAGGCACCGGGGAACCCAAACUCUGAUCUUGGUUCUGACACCAACUUGUGCUGCGUCAGGCAAGUCUCCCGACUUCUGGAAGCUAAGUGUCUUCACGUAUAAAAUGGGGAAAUAGACGGUUUCCCUGGCUCCUUGGUUCUAAAGUUCCAGAAGUUUCCUUAGCACUCAUUGCCCACUUCUGCCCAGCAUGACCCUGCCAUGUGGGUGGUGGGUGGUUUCACUGUCUGUGCUGUGGGUCACACUUCACGGCAAGCAUCGAGCUGGUCAGGGGAGCCUCUAGAGGGGCUUAUCUUCCUGGGGUCACCACGGGCCAGCUUCCAGGGUGUGGUCUCUUGGCGCUGUGGCAGCCCCAGACGGGCCCCAUCACAGAGACUCAUGUGAACACAGGCGCUUUCCUCGGCCACGGCGCCUGGGCCAGUCAGGAACAGCGUCCGGCACAGUUCCCUGAGGGCCUGGGUGUGAAAACUGGCUCUGAACCUCCUUCUCCUCAUCUGUAAAAUGGCACCAACACCUGUUCCGACUUCAUAGUGUUGGGGCAAAGAGUCCAUGACUCCACACAGGUGAGGAAGGUGUCCAGGGGCCCCUCGCUAAGGCAGAGCUGUGACUGUCUUACCCCUCCGUGUCCAGGCGGGUGCUCCAGGAGCGACACGAUCCUCAUGACAGGAGCUGCCUCGGCUUGGGGCUGCUGGAGGAGCCCCAUGUCCUUCCUCACCCCACACCCUCCCCUCCAAAUCCGUGGGCUCGCCAGCAGUAACUCCCCACCUGCCCAUACUCGGACCUCAGGGAAGACAUGGUUGUGCAGAGGUGCCCGUGAGGGACUAAACCUCGAGACUGUUCUGGAGCUCUUGAACCCCCCAAACCAGAGCAGAGAAAGAUGGCAGCCCUGGCGAGGGGUAAGGUAACAAGUCAUCAGGAUUAUUGGCUAGUGUUGCCUGAUUUCUCUGUGCUGGGACCUAGAGUGCCUUAUCUGAGUCUGGGCAUGACCCUUUGGAGUCCAGACUGUGACUGUCCCUUCUUUCUUAAAGAUGGGGAAACUGAGGUGUGGGCAGGCAUGGCCACACACAGCUAGCAAGUGCCAGCCCCAGGACCUGACCCGGAAGGGUGAGGAGAGCUUUGAGGGGAUCACGUCCCUGGCUGCUCCCCAAAGCCAGUGCCCAUCCUCAGGGCGGCAUUCCACCCCUUGGGGUUGAUCUGUGCAGAGAUGGGAACAGAGGGCUCCUUAGUUCCUGUUUGAUUGCUGGACACCCAGGGUCAAAAGUCUGCAAAGGAGAAAAAUUGAGAAACUUUCAUCCAAGCUUUGAAACCCACCUCUGUGACACCCCGCUGGUGCGUUCUCCUGUGCCCUGGGGCUGCCUAGGCCCCCACCCCAGGGCAGGAAAUGCCAGUGAAGACUGUGGCCCUUGCCCAGCAUUGUCCAGUGGUUACUUCGCUUAUUCCUCAUAACAACCCCCAACUCCAAGAUGUGGGUCCUAGAGGACAUCAUCCCCGUGUUGCAGAUGAAGAAACUGAGGCAGAGGGCAGAUAAAUUACUUACCUAAGAUAGGUAAGCAAAUAGGAAGAAACGGUUCUCCAGGCUGAGCACUCCAAGUUCAAGUGUUUCCAGACUCAUCCAAAACUGUCUCCCAGGAGGUUCAGGAACCUUGUCCCUGACAGCCAGUGGGUGCUUGCUGCCAGCUGGGCUACCAGCUCCCCCAAGCUACGUCAGCCCCAGGGGGUGCCACUUUAUGGAUGCGGCUGAGGCAGUGGGGCUAACCUGCUGGAAAGUGGCACAGUUUGGAUUCAGAGCAGGCAGGUGGCCUUCCCUUCCUGUCCUGCUGUCUUGCAACUUCCCUUAGUCCUGGUCCCUCAACUGGCUUCUGCCCCUCAGCCGCUGGAACCAUGACAUCAAGAUCUGGCAGCCGUUGCAGCAGUGAGAGGGCUGUGCUCCAUCUGUGCACAGGUGCCCCGCAGGUGCCAAUCCUUGCACCAUCCUGUCAAGAGGGUUGCCCUUGCGCACCUCCCACCUAGAUUCCCUUCUACCUGCCCCAGCGAACAGCCAUGCUGACCUGUAUCACCUGCCUUAUCCUUAAGCCUCAUAGAAAUGGAAUCAUACAUUUAUGUCUGGCUUCUUUUGUUCAGUGUUGUGUGACAGAUCCAUCUGAUUUGGUGUGUGUACCUGCACUUUUUGUGUCAGUGCUGCAUAGUAUUCUAUUAUGUGAAUAUACUACAGUUUA
Long non-coding RNA from Manis javanica (Malayan pangolin), 4876 nucleotides. RefSeq lists it as uncharacterized. Lineage: Eukaryota; Metazoa; Chordata; Mammalia; Pholidota; Manidae. The record is from RefSeq and is a predicted model, not a curated record.